This 465-nucleotide ribosomal RNA is filed under the name Vreelandella stevensii. RNAcentral describes it as "partial 16S ribosomal RNA". It matches the Rfam family "Bacterial small subunit ribosomal RNA", at positions 338 to 795 of the family's 1533-position model. Lineage: Bacteria; Pseudomonadati; Pseudomonadota; Gammaproteobacteria; Oceanospirillales; Halomonadaceae. The record is from RNAcentral.
CCUACGGGGGGCAGCAGUGGGGAAUAUUGGACAAUGGGGGCAACCCUGAUCCAGCCAUGCCGCGUGUGUGAAGAAGGCCCUCGGGUUGUAAAGCACUUUCAGUGAGGAAGAACGCCUGGUGGUUAAUACCCAUCAGGAAAGACAUCACUCACAGAAGAAGCACCGGCUAACUCCGUGCCAGCAGCCGCGGUAAUACGGAGGGUGCGAGCGUUAAUCGGAAUUACUGGGCGUAAAGCGCGCGUAGGUGGCUUGAUAAGCCGGUUGUGAAAGCCCCGGGCUCAACCUGGGAACGGCAUCCAGAACUGUCAAGCUAGAGUGCAGGAGAGGAAGGUAGAAUUCCCGGUGUAGCGGUGAAAUGCGUAGAGAUCGGGAGGAAUACCAGUGGCGAAGGCGGCCUUCUGGACUGACACUGACACUGAGGUGCGAAAGCGUGGGUAGCAAACAGGAUUAGAUACCCUUGUAGUC